AUACGGAGGGGGUUAGCGUUGUUCGGAAUUACUGGGCGUAAAGCGUACGUAGGCGGAUUAGUAAGUUAGGGGUGAAAUCCCGAGGCUCAACCUCGGAACUGCCUCUAAAACUGCUAGUCUUGAGCUCGAGAGAGGUGAGUGGAAUUCCUAGUGUAGAGGUGAAAUUCGUAGAUAUUAGGAGGAACACCAGUGGCGAAGGCGGCUCACUGGCUCGAUACUGACGCUGAGGUACGAAAGUGUGGGGAGCAAACAGGAUUAGAAACCCUAGUAGUCC
Molecule: ribosomal RNA, 274 nt
Filed under: uncultured bacterium
Lineage: Bacteria
Description: partial 16S ribosomal RNA
Rfam family: Bacterial small subunit ribosomal RNA
Source: RNAcentral